ACAGUUCGAUCCUAGCUCAGAUGAAUGAUGGCGGCAUGCUUAACACAUGCAAGUCGAACGGGAAGUGGUGUUUCCAGUAGCGACGUGAGUAACGCGUAAGAACCUAUCCUUGGGAGGGAACAAUAGUUGAAACGGUUGCUAAUACCCCGUAAGUUGAGGAGCAAAAGGAGGAAUCCGCUCGAGGAGGGGCGCGUCUAUUAUUUAUAUACCAAGGAUAAUUAAUAGCUAGUCUGAGAAGAUGAUUAGCCACACUAGGACUAAGACAUAGCCCAGACUCCUACGGAGGCAGCAGUGGGGAAUUUCUGCAAUUGGCGAAAGCUUGAUAGAGCAAUGCCGUGUUGAAGUAAAAGGCCCACCGGUUGUGAACUUUUUUUCCCGGAGAAGAAGCAAUGACCAUAUCUGAGGAAUAAGCAUCGACUAACUCUGUGCCAGCAGCUGCGGUAAUACAAAGGAUGUAAGCGUUAUCCGGAAUGAUUGGACGUAAAGCGUCUGUAGGUGGCUCUUUAAGUCCACCGUCAAAUCCCAAAGCUCAAUCCUGGACAGGCGGUGGAAACUACCAAGCUGGAGUAUGGUAGGGGCAGAGAGAAUUUCCGGUGGAGCGGUGAAAUGCGUAGAGAUCGAAAAAACACCAACGACGAAAGCACUCUGCUGGCCGACACUGACACUGAAAGGCGAAAGCUAGGGGAGCGAAUAGGAUUAAUACCUCAGUGGUCCUAGCCGUAAAUGAUGAAUAGGCCCUGUGCGUAUCGACCCGUGCAGAGCUGUAGCUAACACAUUAAAUAUCCCGCUUGGGAAGUAUAUUUGCAAGAAUGAAACUCAAAGGAAUUAACGAGGCUCGCACAAACGGUGGAGCAUGUGGUUUAAUUUGAUGCAAAGCGAAGAACCUUACCAAGGCUUGACAUGACACGAAUCCUCUUGAAAGAGAAGUGUGCCUUCGGGAACGCGGACAGAGGUGGUACAUGGCUAUCGUCAACUCGUGGGUAAGGUGUUGGGUUAAGUCUUGCAACGAGCGCAACCCUCAUGUUUAGUUGCCACCGUUGAGUUUGGAACCCUGAACAGACUGCCGGUGAUAAGUUGGAGAAAUGUAAAGAUGACAUCAAAUCAUCAUACCCCUUAUGCCCUGGGCGACACACGUGCUACAAUGGUCGGGACAAAGGGUCACGAUCUCGCGAGGAUGAGCUAACUCCAAAAACCCGUCCUUAGUUUGGAUUGCAGGCUGUAACUCACCUGCAUGAAGCCGAAAUCGCUAGUAAUCAUUAGUCAGCCAUACGACGGUGAAUUCGUUCCGGGCCUUGUACAUACCACCCGUCACAUUAUGGUGCUGGCCAUGCCUAAAGUCGUUACCUUAACCAUAAGGAGGGAUGCCGAAGGCAGGGCUAGUAACUGGAGUGAAGUCGUAACAAGGUAGCCGUACUGGAAAGUGCGGCUA
RNAcentral lists this ribosomal RNA (1429 nucleotides) under Psidium guajava. RNAcentral's name for it is "bacterial SSU rRNA". It matches the Rfam family "Bacterial small subunit ribosomal RNA". Lineage: Eukaryota; Viridiplantae; Streptophyta; Magnoliopsida; Myrtales; Myrtaceae. The record is from RNAcentral.